GAUGAACGCUGGCGGCGUGCCUAAUACAUGCAAGUCGAGCGAACAGACGAGGAGCUUGCUCCUCUGACGUUAGCGGCGGACGGGUGAGUAACACGUGGAUAACCUACCUAUAAGACUGGGAUAACUUCGGGAAACCGGAGCUAAUACCGGAUAAUAUAUUGAACCGCAUGGUUCAAUAGUGAAAGACGGGUUUGCUGUCACUUAUAGAUGGAUCCGCGCCGCAUUAGCUAGUUGGUAAGGUAACGGCUUACCAAGGCAACGAUGCGUAGCCGACGUGAGAGGGUGAUCGGCCACACUGGAACUGAGACGCGGUCCAGACUCCUACGGGAGGCAGCAGUAGGGAAUCUUCCGCAAUGGGCGAAAGCCUGACGGAGCAACGCCGCGUGAGUGAUGAAGGUCUUCGGAUCGUAAAACUCUGUUAUUAGGGAAGAACAAAUGUGUAAGUAACUAUGCACGUCUUGACGGUACCUAAUCAGAAAGCCACGGCUAACUACGUG
RNAcentral lists this ribosomal RNA (497 nucleotides) under uncultured bacterium. Its description in RNAcentral is "partial 16S ribosomal RNA". It matches the Rfam family "Bacterial small subunit ribosomal RNA", at positions 28 to 507 of the family's 1533-position model. The record is from RNAcentral.